GCUGGAGUGGUGGAACUGGUAGACACGCAGGACUUAAAAUCCUGUGAGGCUUAUCCCUCGUACGGGUUCGAUUCCCGUCUCCAGUA
This 86-nucleotide transfer RNA is filed under the name Leadbetterella sp. Its description in RNAcentral is "tRNA-Leu". It matches the Rfam family "tRNA". From Rfam's summary of the family: Transfer RNA (tRNA) molecules are approximately 80 nucleotides in length. Their secondary structure includes four short double-helical elements and three loops (D, anti-codon, and T loops). Further hydrogen bonds mediate the characteristic L-shaped molecular structure. tRNAs have two regions of fundamental functional importance: the anti-codon, which is responsible for specific mRNA codon recognition, and the 3' end, to which the tRNAs corresponding amino acid is attached (by aminoacyl-tRNA synthetases). tRNAs cope with the degeneracy of the genetic code in two manners: having more than one tRNA (with a specific anti-codon) for a particular amino acid; and 'wobble' base-pairing, i.e. permitting non-standard base-pairing at the 3rd anti-codon position. The record is from RNAcentral. Lineage: Bacteria; Pseudomonadati; Bacteroidota; Cytophagia; Cytophagales; Leadbetterellaceae.